CUAAGUGCAUUAUUGUCAAAAGUGACUGUUUAUUAAAAAUUACAUAUUUUCUGUAAUGGCCUUGUUUUUCUGUAAUGGCCCUGUUUUUUUCUGUAAUGGCCCUGUUUUUCUGUAAUGGCCCUGUUUUUUCUGUAAUGGCCCUGUUUUACUGUAAUGGCCUGGUUUUUUCUGUAACGGCCCUGUAUUAAUGCCCAGUUUGUCUAAGUUGUAAAGAGUAUAAUACCUUUUUGUAUUUUAUUUAAUUUAGUAACCAGCAAC
This 258-nucleotide long non-coding RNA is filed under the name Mytilus galloprovincialis (Mediterranean mussel). The record is from RNAcentral. Lineage: Eukaryota; Metazoa; Mollusca; Bivalvia; Mytilida; Mytilidae.